AGCCCCGUGGUGUAGCGGUCAAGCAUAGUGGGUUUUGGCCUCACUGACCCAGGUUCGAGUCCUGGCGGGGCUACCA
This 76-nucleotide transfer RNA is filed under the name Candidatus Thorarchaeota archaeon. Its description in RNAcentral is "tRNA-Gln". It matches the Rfam family "tRNA". Rfam says of the family: Transfer RNA (tRNA) molecules are approximately 80 nucleotides in length. Their secondary structure includes four short double-helical elements and three loops (D, anti-codon, and T loops). The record is from RNAcentral. Lineage: Archaea; Promethearchaeati; Candidatus Thorarchaeota.